UACAGAGGGUGCAAGCGUUAAUCGGAAUUACUGGGCGUAAAGCGCACGCAGGCGGUUGGUUAAGUCAGAUGUGAAAGCCCCGGGCUCAACCUGGGAAUUGCAUUUGAAACUGGCCAACUAGAGUACGUGAGAGGGGGGUAGAAUUCCAAGUGUAGCGGUGAAAUGCGUAGAGAUUUGGAGGAAUACCAGUGGCGAAGGCGGCCCCCUGGCACGAUACUGACGCUCGGGUGCGAAAGCGUGGGGAGCAAACAGG
Molecule: ribosomal RNA, 253 nt
Filed under: uncultured bacterium
Lineage: Bacteria
Description: partial 16S ribosomal RNA
Rfam family: Bacterial small subunit ribosomal RNA
Source: RNAcentral